This 64-nucleotide transfer RNA is filed under the name Elysia cornigera. RNAcentral's name for it is "tRNA-Ile". The record is from RNAcentral. Lineage: Eukaryota; Metazoa; Mollusca; Gastropoda; Plakobranchidae.
AAGUAGCCGCCGGAUGAACGGAUAUCAUUGAUGUUGAUAAAUAUGAGGUUUACCUUGCUGCUUU